RNAcentral lists this ribosomal RNA (253 nucleotides) under uncultured bacterium. RNAcentral's name for it is "partial 16S ribosomal RNA". It matches the Rfam family "Bacterial small subunit ribosomal RNA", at positions 524 to 776 of the family's 1533-position model. The record is from RNAcentral.
UACGUAGGGUGCAAGCAUUAAUCGGAAUUACUGGGCGUAAAGCGCGUGUAGGCGGCCAUCUAAGUCGGGCGUGAAAUCCCACGGCUCAACCGUGGAAGUGCACUCGAAACUGGAUGGCUAGAGUCCUGGAGAGGAAGGUGGAAUGCUUGGUGUAGAGGUGAAAUUCGUAGAUAUCAAGCGGAACACCGGUGGCGAAGGCGGCCUUCUGGACAGUGACUGACGCUGAGACGCGAAAGCGUGGGGAGCAAACAGG